AACAUCGCGCACCUGCGGGAACCUGCGGAGGGAUCAUUACAGAGUUGCAAAACUCCCUAAACCAUUGUGAACGUUACCUAAACCGUUGCUUCGGCGGGCGGCCCGGGUCCUUCCCGGCGCCCAUCGGCCCUCGCGGGCGCCCGCCGGAGGUAAACCAAACUAUUGCAUUGUAUGGCCUCUCUGAGUCUUCUGUACCGAAUAAGUCAAAACUUUCAACAACGGAUCUCAGAUCGGAAGAGC
This 240-nucleotide unclassified non-coding RNA is filed under the name soil metagenome. RNAcentral's name for it is "partial contains 5.8S ribosomal RNA, internal transcribed spacer 2, and large subunit ribosomal RNA". The record is from RNAcentral.